This 300-nucleotide ribosomal RNA is filed under the name uncultured Sporohalobacter sp. RNAcentral's name for it is "bacterial SSU rRNA". It matches the Rfam family "Bacterial small subunit ribosomal RNA", at positions 496 to 795 of the family's 1533-position model. The record is from RNAcentral. Lineage: Bacteria; Bacillati; Bacillota; Clostridia; Halanaerobiales; Halobacteroidaceae.
GUGUGCGGUGGGGCAGUGGCGUGGGUGAGACGUAGGGUGCGGGCGUUAAUCGGAAUUACUGGGGGGAAAGCGUGCGCGUGGGGGGAUGUAAGACAGAUGUUAAAUCCCCGGGCUCAACCUGUGAACUGCGUUUGGGACUGCAGCACUCGAGUACGGCAGAGGGAGGUGGAAUUCCACGUGUAGCAGUGAAAUGCGUAGAGAUGUGGAGGAACACCGAUGGCGAAGGCAGCCUCCUGGGCCAGUACUGACGCUCAUGCACGAAAGCGUGGGGAGCAAACAGGAUUAGAUACCCCGGUAGUC